UACGUAGGGUGCGAGCGUUGUCCGGAAUUAUUGGGCGUAAAGAGCUCGUAGGCGGUCUGUCGCGUCGAUCGUGAAAACUUGGGGCUUAACCCUGAGCUUGCGGUCGAUACGGGCAUGACUGGAGUUCGGCAGGGGAGACUGGAAUUCCUGGUGUAGCGGUGAAAUGCGCAGAUAUCAGGAGGAACACCGGUGGCGAAGGCGGGUCUCUGGGCCGAUACUGACGCUGAGGAGCGAAAGCGUGGAGAGCGAACAGG
This 254-nucleotide ribosomal RNA is filed under the name uncultured bacterium. RNAcentral's name for it is "partial 16S ribosomal RNA". It matches the Rfam family "Bacterial small subunit ribosomal RNA", at positions 524 to 776 of the family's 1533-position model. The record is from RNAcentral.